AUCCAGCUGAUCAGUCCCACAUGGGACGAAACCCACGUCAUGGAU
Schistosoma curassoni is the source of this 45-nucleotide non-coding RNA. Lineage: Eukaryota; Metazoa; Platyhelminthes; Trematoda; Strigeidida; Schistosomatidae. The record is from Rfam.